GACGAACGCUGGCGGCGUGCUUAACACAUGCAAGUCGAACGAUGAAGGAAGAAGCUUGCUUCUUCUGGAUUAGUGGCGAACGGGUGAGUAACACGUGAGCAAUCUGCCCUUGACUCUGGGAUAAGCGUUGGAAACGACGUCUAAUACCGGAUACGACCCUCGGAGGCAUCUCCUGGGGGUGGAAAGAAUUUUGGUCAAGGAUGAGCUCGCGGCCUAUCAGCUUGUUGGUGAGGUAAUGGCUCACCAAGGCGACGACGGGUAGCCGGCCUGAGAGGGUGACCGGCCACACUGGGACUGAGACACGGCCCAGACUCCUACGGGAGGCAGCAGUGGGGAAUAUUGCACAAUGGGCGAAAGCCUGAUGCAGCAACGCCGCGUGAGGGAUGACGGCCUUCGGGUUGUAAACCUCUUUUAGUAGGGAAGAAGCGAAAGUGACGGUACCUGCAGAAAAAGCACCGGCUAACUACGUGCCAGCAGCCGCGGUAAUACGUAGGGUGCAAGCGUUGUCCGGAAUUAUUGGGCGUAAAGAGCUCGUAGGCGGUUUGUCGCGUCUGCUGUGAAAUCUGGGGGCUCAACCCCCAGCCUGCAGUGGGUACGGGCUGACUAGAGUGCGGUAGGGGAGAUUGGAAUUCCUGGUGUAGCGGUGGAAUGCGCAGAUAUCAGGAGGAACACCGAUGGCGAAGGCAGAUCUCUGGGCCGUAACUGACGCUGAGGAGCGAAAGCAUGGGGAGCGAACAGGAUUAGAUACCCUGGUAGUCCAUGCCGUAAACGUUGGGAACUAGAUGUGGGGACCAUUCCACGGUCUCCGUGUCGCAGCUAACGCAUUAAGUUCCCCGCCUGGGGAGUACGGCCGCAAGGCUAAAACUCAAAGGAAUUGACGGGGGCCCGCACAAGCGGCGGAGCAUGCGGAUUAAUUCGAUGCAACGCGAAGAACCUUACCAAGACUUGACAUAUACGAGAACGGGCCAGAAAUGGUCAACUCUUUGGACACUCGUAAACAGGUGGUGCAUGGUUGUCGUCAGCUCGUGUCGUGAGAUGUUGGGUUAAGUCCCGCAACGAGCGCAACCCUCGUCCUAUGUUGCCAGCACGUAAUGGUGGGAACUCAUGGGAUACUGCCGGGGUCAACUCGGAGGAAGGUGGGGAUGACGUCAAAUCAUCAUGCCCCUUAUGUCUUGGGCUUCACGCAUGCUACAAUGGCCGGUACAAAGGGCUGCGAUACCGUAAGGUGGAGCGAAUCCCAAAAAGCCGGUCUCAGUUCGGAUUGAGGUCUGCAACUCGACCUCAUGAAGUCGGAGUCGCUAGUAAUCGCAGAUCAGCAACGCUGCGGUGAAUACGUUCCCGGGCCU
RNAcentral lists this ribosomal RNA (1346 nucleotides) under uncultured bacterium. RNAcentral's name for it is "bacterial SSU rRNA". It matches the Rfam family "Bacterial small subunit ribosomal RNA", at positions 28 to 1381 of the family's 1533-position model. The record is from RNAcentral.